Molecule: ribosomal RNA, 503 nt
Filed under: Salmonella enterica
Lineage: Bacteria; Pseudomonadati; Pseudomonadota; Gammaproteobacteria; Enterobacterales; Enterobacteriaceae
Description: partial 23S ribosomal RNA
Rfam family: Bacterial large subunit ribosomal RNA
Source: RNAcentral
UGUUUCGGCUAGGGGGCCAUCCCGGCUUACCAACCCGAUGCAAACUGCGAAUACCGGAGAAUGUUAUCACGGGAGACACACGGCGGGUGCUAACGUCCGUCGUGAAGAGGGAAACAACCCAGACCGCCAGCUAAGGUCCCAAAGUCAUGGUUAAGUGGGAAACGAUGUGGGAAGGCCCAGACAGCCAGGAUGUUGGCUUAGAAGCAGCCAUCAUUUAAAGAAAGCGUAAUAGCUCACUGGUCGAGUCGGCCUGCGCGGAAGAUGUAACGGGGCUAAACCAUGCACCGAAGCUGCGGCAGCGACACUCAGGUGUUGUUGGGUAGGGGAGCGUUCUGUAAGCCUGCGAAGGUGGCCUGUGAGGGUUGCUGGAGGUAUCAGAAGUGCGAAUGCUGACAUAAGUAACGAUAAAGCGGGUGAAAAGCCCGCUCGCCGGAAGACCAAGGGUUCCUGUCCAACGUUAAUCGGGGCAGGGUGAGUCGACCCCUAAGGCGAGGCCGAAAGGC